This 402-nucleotide ribosomal RNA is filed under the name uncultured Sphingomonas sp. RNAcentral describes it as "bacterial SSU rRNA". It matches the Rfam family "Bacterial small subunit ribosomal RNA", at positions 353 to 772 of the family's 1533-position model. The record is from RNAcentral. Lineage: Bacteria; Pseudomonadati; Pseudomonadota; Alphaproteobacteria; Sphingomonadales; Sphingomonadaceae.
AGUGGGGAAUAUUGGACAAUGGGCGAAAGCCUGAUCCAGCAAUGCCGCGUGAGUGAUGAAGGCCUUAGGGUUGUAAAGCUCUUUUACCCGGGAUGAUAAUGACAGUACCGGGAGAAUAAGCUCCGGCUAACUUCGUGCCAGCAGCCGCGGUAAUACGAGGGGAGCUAGCGUUAUUCGGAAUUACUGGGCGUAAAGCGCACGUAGGCGGCUUUGUAAGUUAGAGGUGAAAGCCCAGAGCUCAACUCUGGAAUUGCCUUUAAGACUGCAUCGCUUGAAUCCAGGAGAGGUGAGUGGAAUUCCGAGUGUAGAGGUGAAAUUCGUAGAUAUUCGGAAGAACACCAGUGGCGAAGGCGGCUCACUGGACUGGUAUUGACGCUGAGGUGCGAAAGCGUGGGGAGCAAA